This is a non-coding RNA of Klebsormidium nitens, 84 nucleotides long. The record is from Rfam. Lineage: Eukaryota; Viridiplantae; Streptophyta; Klebsormidiophyceae; Klebsormidiales; Klebsormidiaceae.
GCGAGCCGUAUGAUGGGAAACUAUCACGUACGGUUCUGAGGGUAGGGUGGAGAACGGGCACAAGUGUCUAGUCUCUAUCCUAAC